Papaver somniferum (opium poppy) is the source of this 2433-nucleotide RNA transcript. It is a transcript of the gene named host cell factor-like, with no coding region annotated. NCBI's taxonomy places the organism in Eukaryota, Viridiplantae, Streptophyta, Magnoliopsida, Ranunculales, Papaveraceae. The transcript has 17 exons. The record is from RefSeq and is a predicted model, not a curated record.
UCGAAACUAGCCUGGGAAAGAGCAACACAGAGAGAGAGAAUCCGUCCAGAAAAAUGCACAACUGGGUUAGAGCCGAUUCAACCGAUUUCAAUGGAACACUCCCCAAACCUCGAAGUGGUCACACUGCAAUUAAUGUUGGGAAAUCCAAAGUCGUUAUAUUUGGUGGAUUACUCGAUAAGAGAUUUCUCACUGAUCUUACUGUACUCGAUACUGAGAGCAAUUUAUGGUAUCAACCAGAAUGCACCGGGAAUGAGUCAGAUGGGCAAAUAGGUCCAAGCGCACGGGCGUUUCAUGUGGCUGUAGCCAUUGAUUGCAAUUUAUUUAUUUUUGGUGGCCGUUCUGCUGGAAAAAGGUUGGGAGACUUUUGGAUGCUCGAUACAGAUAUUUGGCAAUGGUCGGAACUAACUGGUUUUGGUGAUUUACCCUCCCCAAGAGAUUUUGCUUCUGCUUCGUGUAUCGGAAAUAGGAAAAUUGUGAUGUAUGGUGGUUGGGAUGGUAAAAAGUGGUUGUCAGAUGUUUAUAUCCUUGACACAAUGUCGCUUGAGUGGACAGAGUUAUCGAUUUCUGGAUCUGGACCACCACCUAGAUGUGGGCACACAGCCACUAUGGUCGAGAAGCGAUUGCUUGUGUUUGGUGGUAGAGGAGGUGGCGGGCCAAUCAUGGGAGACUUGUGGGCUUUAAAGGGUAUUAUUGAUGGAGAGAAUGAAGCACCAGGUUGGACCCAGCUGAAGCUUCCUGGCCAACAGCCUUCUCCCCGUUGUGGCCAUACAGUGACUUCUGGGGGACAUAAUCUCUUAUUAUUUGGAGGGCAUGGCACUGGUGGUUGGUUGAGUCGAUAUGAUGUCUAUCACAAUGACUGCAUUGUCUUAGAUAGAGUGUCUGUGCAGUGGAAGCGUUUACCUACCAGCAAUGAACUCCCUUUAGCUCGAGCUUACCACACAAUGACUGCUAUUGGGUCUCGUUAUCUUUUAUUUGGUGGGUUUGAUGGAAAAUCUACAUUUGGUGAGCUGUGGUGGUUGGUUCCUGAAGAUGAUCCAAUUGCAAGAAGGUUGGCUUCACCCCCUUCAAAUAAUAUAUCAGAAAGUAAUACUGGAUCUGCACAAGACGUUGCACUCCAGUCGGAAAGGGAUAGCAAUAAAGAGGAAUCUCCAAUUACGGAACUAUUUAGAAGACUAAAAAUAUCAGUUCCACCUUCAUCUGAGUUUGGCAUCAUAGAUGAAUUGGAUGACAAAGAAUUUCUAGAAGUAGCAUCAAGGUUGACCAGAGAAGUAGUAUCCAACCAUGAACAGGACACACUUAUUCAGUCAGUGCGUAGUCACUGGGUUAGUUCUUCACCAAGGUCUAUACCAUUAAAAGAGUUAGGCCCCUUGCUGCGAGACUACAAACGUUUGAUUUUCCGCCACUACUUAGGUAAUGGUGGAUCCGAUUUACCGCCUAUGAAGACUGGGACUUCAGGAGAGGAGAUUUAUCAGUUUUAUCACACCAAAACUGCGUCUCAGUUGCACAUGGGUGAUAUUCCGAAGCUGUUAACCGAGUACAAGCGACUUGUGUCCAAGUGAAAAGUGGCUUGCAGACCAUUUCGCUAUAAACAAAGUUACUGCAAGUCAUCUGUGAGUAAUUUUCAUUCUCAGGUUAUAAUGAACAGAAAUAGCUUUAAAGGGUAUCAGGCCCAACUUUCUUUAUUAUGACAAAUUGGUGAGAAAUUACCAACAUGCCAUUUACUAAAGCCAGUGAGGUUCUACUUUCAUCUUUAUUGUUGUUUUGUUUAUUAAAGAUAGUUUCUCUUAUUAAACCCUUUACACCAUUGCAGUUUUCUUUACGUUAUUAAAACCUAACACCAUAUUCUUCUUACCCUUUUGUCUUUACGGAUUUAUUUAACCAAAUGUUUAUCUUGUAAACUUAAAUUAUCUUUUAAAAAUAAUUAGAUUGCUUGUACUAAGUACUAACACCCUAACGGUCGAUCUUAGAAAGUCUUACACAACUUUUUGGACCGCAUAUUAUGAUGAAAAUGUUCUCUAACUUGUGCAGUUUGGCAUCUAAUUGAUAGCGCAAGAAACUUGUUCUGAAAUCAAAGAUCUUUCUUUAGAGUUGUUAAUUUCCGAUGAUAAAUUCAAUCAUGUUACAAGUCUCAAAGUGUAGUCCCUAGCUAGUCAAGACUCCGAGGGUCAUUUGUUGCUCCAAUUAGCUCUUGUGAUUAUUCUUUAUAUACAUUUCUAGGCGUCACUCCAUACAUGGUUGUGCUAAUCACAUACUCCUAUCUUAGAAUUUUGUGGUUCACAGUAAAUGUCAUGAUCCAAGGGUUUAGAUUACUCGACUAGCUAAAUCUUUUUAUAUACAGGCUUGGCAAAGGCAUACAAGGUUUCUCCUUUUCAUUAGGCUAGUAUAUAUUUAUUUAUCGAAACUGGUUGUAUAUCAUUGGAUGGUUGCUAGAUG